Molecule: ribosomal RNA, 492 nt
Filed under: uncultured bacterium
Lineage: Bacteria
Description: partial 16S ribosomal RNA
Rfam family: Bacterial small subunit ribosomal RNA
Source: RNAcentral
GAUGAACGCUAGCUACAGGCUUAACACAUGCAAGUCGCGGGGCAGCAUGGGGGUUGCUUGCAACCCCUGAUGGCGACCGGCGCACGGGUGAGUAACGCGUAUCCAACCUGCCCUUCACCACGGGAUAACCCGGCGAAAGUCGGACUAAUACCGUAUGUUGUCCAUUGACGGCAUCCGAUUUGGACGAAAGGCUUGGCGGUGAGAGGAUGGGGAUGCGUCCGAUUAGCUUGACGGCGGGGUAACGGCCCACCGUGGCUACGAUCGGUAGGGGUUCUGAGAGGAAGGUCCCCCACACUGGAACUGAGACACGGUCCAGACUCCUACGGGAGGCAGCAGUGAGGAAUAUUGGUCAAUGGGCGUAAGCCUGAACCAGCCAAGUAGCGUGCAGGAUGACGGCCCUAUGGGUUGUAAACUGCUUUUAUGCGGGGAUAAAGUGGCCCACGUGUGGGCUUUUGCAGGUACCGCAUGAAUAAGGACCGGCUAAUUCCGUGC